GCUAGAUGGUGGGGUAAAGGCCUACCAGGGCGACGAUCUGUAGCUGGUCUGAGAGGAUGAUCAGCCACACCGGGACUGAGACACGGCCCGGACUCCUACGGGAGGCAGCAGUGGGGAAUAUUGGACAAUGGGGGAAACCCUGAUCCAGCCAUGCCGCGUGUGUGAAGAAGGCCUUUUGGUUGUAAAGCACUUUAAGCAGUGAAGAAGACCUAACGGUUAAUACCCGUUAGCGAUGACAUUAGCUGCAGAAUAAGCACCGGCUAACUCUGUGCCAGCAGCCGCGGUAAUACAGAGGGUGCAAGCGUUUAUCGGAAUUACUGGGCGUAAAGCGAGCGUAGGUGGCUUGAUAAGUCAGAUGUGAAAUCCCCGGGCUUAACCUGGGAACUGCAUCUGAUACUGUUAAGCUAGAGUAGGUGAGAGGGAAGUAGAAUUCCAGGUGUAGCGGUGAAAUGCGUAGAGAUCUGGAGGAAUACCGAUGGCGAAGGCAGCUUCCUGGCAUCAUACUGACACUGAGGUUCGAAAGCGUGGGUAGCAAACAGGAUUAGAUACCCUGGUAGUCCACGCCGUAAACGAUGUCUACUAGUCGUUGGGUCCCUUGAGGACUUAGUGACGCAGCUAACGCAAUAAGUAGACCGCCUGGGGAGUAC
This 647-nucleotide ribosomal RNA is filed under the name Psychrobacter sp. RNAcentral's name for it is "bacterial SSU rRNA". It matches the Rfam family "Bacterial small subunit ribosomal RNA", at positions 244 to 883 of the family's 1533-position model. Lineage: Bacteria; Pseudomonadati; Pseudomonadota; Gammaproteobacteria; Moraxellales; Moraxellaceae. The record is from RNAcentral.